This 251-nucleotide ribosomal RNA is filed under the name uncultured bacterium. Its description in RNAcentral is "partial 16S ribosomal RNA". It matches the Rfam family "Bacterial small subunit ribosomal RNA", at positions 524 to 771 of the family's 1533-position model. The record is from RNAcentral.
UACGUAGGAGGACGAGCGUUGUCCGGAGUUACUGGGCGUAAAGCGCACGUAGGUGGCUGGGUAAGUUGGAUGUGAAAUCCCCGGGGCUUAACUUCGGGAAUUGCAUUCAAGACUGCCUUGCUCGAGUACUGGAGAGGGAACUGGAAUUUACGGUGUAGCAGUGAAAUGCGUAGAGAUCGUAAGGAAGGCCAGUGGCGAAGGCGAGUUCCUGGACAGUUACUGACGCUGAGGCACGAAGGCCAGGGGAGCAA